RNAcentral lists this ribosomal RNA (856 nucleotides) under Rhodotorula toruloides. RNAcentral describes it as "partial large subunit ribosomal RNA". It matches the Rfam family "Eukaryotic large subunit ribosomal RNA", at positions 39 to 911 of the family's 3401-position model. The record is from RNAcentral. Lineage: Eukaryota; Fungi; Basidiomycota; Microbotryomycetes; Sporidiobolales; Sporidiobolaceae.
CAUAUCAAUAAGCGGAGGAAAAGAAACUAACAAGGAUUCCCCUAGUAGCGGCGAGCGAAGCGGGAAGAGCUCAAAUUUGUAAUCUGGCACCUUCGGUGUCCGAGUUGUAAUCUCUAGAAGUGUUUUCCGCGUUGGACCGCACACAAGUCUGUUGGAAUACAGCGGCAUAGUGGUGAUACCCCAUUACACGGUGCGGACGCCCAGCGCUUUGUGAUACACUUUCGACGAGUCGAGUUGUUUGGGAAUGCAGCUCAAAUUGGGUGGUAAAUUCCAUCUAAAGCUAAAUAUUGGCGAGAGACCGAUAGCGAACAAGUACCGUGAGGGAAAGAUGAAAAGCACUUUGGAAAGAGAGUUAAAAGUACGUGAAAUUGUUGGAAGGGAAACGCUUGAAGUCAGACUUGCUUGCCGGGCUUGCUCGGUUUGCAGGCCAGCAUCAGUUUUCUGGGACGGAUAAUGGCAGUUAGAAUGUAGCAGUCUCGGCUGUGUUAUAGCUUUCUGCUGGAUACGUCCUGGGGGACUGAGGAACGCAGCGUGCCGUAUGGCGAGGGCUUCGGUCCUUUCACGCUUAGGAUGCUGGUGGAAUGGCUUUAAACGACCCGUCUUGAAACACGGACCAAGGAGUCUAACAUGCUUGCGAGUAUUUGGGUGUCAAACCCGGAUGCGUAAUGAAAGUGAAUGGAGGUGGGAAGCGCAAGCUGCACCAUCGACCGAUCUGGAUUUUCUAAGAUGGAUUUGAGUAAGAGCACGUAUGUUGGGACCCGAAAGAUGGUGAACUAUGCCUGAAUAGGGCGAAGCCAGAGGAAACUACUGGUGGAGGCUACGUAGCGGUUCUGACGUGCAAAUCGAUCGUCAAAUU